GUUUCCCAAUUGUUGGUGUUUAUACUACAUUUUUUAAGAUUUGCCUUGAGACACUCUUUAAACCUCUUUUGUUGACCACCAGCAUUACGCUUUCCAUUUUUAAGUUCGGAAUAGAGUAGUUGCUUUGGAAGACGAUCAUCAGGCAUCCACACAACAUGACCAGUCCAGCGAAGUUGAGGUUGAAGAAUCAUUGCUUCAACACUGGUGAUCUUUGC
Molecule: non-coding RNA, 215 nt
Organism: Podarcis lilfordi (Lilford's wall lizard)
Lineage: Eukaryota; Metazoa; Chordata; Lepidosauria; Squamata; Lacertidae
Source: the annotation of a GenBank genome assembly